Molecule: ribosomal RNA, 490 nt
Filed under: uncultured bacterium
Lineage: Bacteria
Description: partial 16S ribosomal RNA
Rfam family: Bacterial small subunit ribosomal RNA
Source: RNAcentral
AUUGAACGCUGGCGGCAUGCUUUACACAUGCAAGUCGGACGGCAGCACAGAGAAGCUUGCUUCUUGGGUGGCGAGUGGCGAAUGGGUGAGUAAUAUAUCGGAACGUACCGAGUAAUGGGGGAUAACUAAUCGAAAGAUUAGCUAAUACCGCAUAUUCUCUGAGGAGGAAAGCAGGGGACCUUCGGGCCUUGCGUUAUUCGAGCGGCCGAUAUCUGAUUAGCUAGUUGGUGGGGUAAAGGCCUACCAAGGCGACGAUCAGUAGCGGGUCUGAGAGGAUGAUCCGCCACACUGGGACUGAGACACGGCCCAGACUCCUACGGGAGGCAGCAGUGGGGAAUUUUGGACAAUGGGCGCAAGCCUGAUCCAGCCAUGCCGCGUGUCUGAAGAAGGCCUUCGGGUUGUAAAGGACUUUUGUCAGGGAAGAAAAGGCUGUUGCUAAUAUCAAUAGCUGAUGACGGUACCUGAAGAAUAAGCACCGGCUAACUACGUG